Molecule: long non-coding RNA, 783 nt
Organism: Vicia villosa (hairy vetch)
Lineage: Eukaryota; Viridiplantae; Streptophyta; Magnoliopsida; Fabales; Fabaceae
Exons: 2
Source: RefSeq, a predicted model, not a curated record
UCUUAAACAAUUAUUAGAGUCAUUUUUGGUUUUUUCCAACAAGUCUUUUGAUUUUUCAAUCUCACAUAAACCAACGUUUUGAAUUAUUAUAAUAUUUGUUGGCUGUUGAAUUUUGCCCACAUUCAUAUCCUUCACCUUUUGUAUUCUCACAGUUUACAAUAAAAAAAUGCUUUCCAAUUCCAUCAUUCAAUUAUGUCUGCAGAAGGAUUGUUAAUAAAAGGGCACAAUAGAACAGCAAAUUUUCAAAUCCUGCUAACCCUAAAAUUCCAUAGUCCAUUCAUAUACUAUCUUUUCCUCUUUCAUUUUCCCAUCGUUCAUUCAGAGAGAAAAAGUCACCAACCUCUCUAUAUUCCAUCUGUUUUUUCUUCUCUCUAUCUCAAUCCAUUUCAUUCUCUCUUAUGAUACCACUUCUUUUAAAUUCUUCACCGCUGUCUUCUUCCCUUUCUCUUCAUAUCACCCUACAAAAUUAAUUUUCUCUUCCUUUCUCUCUAUUUUUUAUCCUCUUUCCAUUAUUUUCCUCCAUGAAAUUUUAUUUGCAAUUCUAUCAUAUAUCAGAAGCUUACGAAAUUCCGUUUGUAUCGAAUGGAAAACUGAAUACUGAAGGGAGUUGCUGCUAUAUUGUUAUUAAUGCCUAUAAAUGAUAUCAUCAAUUUGAGAUGUUGGAGAUUUAUUUAGGGGUUUAUAAUUUCUGAAUCUUAGUUUUGUUUUAGAAGGAGAAAUUUUAGUUAUCUUAUAGGCUACGAUUAUAAUGUUAUUAUUUAUAUAAUAUUUGAUGUUUCUUUA